GACGAACGCUGGCGGCGUGCUUAACACAUGCAAGUCGAACGAGGAGCGAUGGAAGCUUGCUUCUAUCAAUCUUAGUGGCGAACGGGUGAGUAACGCGUAAUCAACCUGCCCUUCAGAGGGGGACAACAGUUGGAAACGACUGCUAAUACCGCAUACGAUCUAAUCUCGGCAUCGAGGAUAGAUGAAAGGUGGCCUCUACAUGUAAGCUAUCACUGAAGGAGGGGAUUGCGUCUGAUUAGCUAGUUGGAGGGGUAACGGCCCACCAAGGCGAUGAUCAGUAGCCGGUCUGAGAGGAUGAACGGCCACAUUGGGACUGAGACACGGCCCAGACUCCUACGGGAGGCAGCAGUGGGGAAUCUUCCGCAAUGGACGAAAGUCUGACGGAGCAACGCCGCGUGAGUGAUGACGGCCUUCGGGUUGUAAAGCUCUGUUAAUCGGGACGAAAGGCCUUCUUGCGAAGAGUGAGAAGGAUUGACGGUACCGGAAUAGAAAGCCACGGCUAACUACGU
RNAcentral lists this ribosomal RNA (509 nucleotides) under uncultured bacterium. RNAcentral's name for it is "partial 16S ribosomal RNA". It matches the Rfam family "Bacterial small subunit ribosomal RNA", at positions 28 to 506 of the family's 1533-position model. The record is from RNAcentral.